Molecule: long non-coding RNA, 728 nt
Organism: Oryzias latipes (Japanese medaka)
Lineage: Eukaryota; Metazoa; Chordata; Actinopteri; Beloniformes; Adrianichthyidae
Source: RefSeq, a predicted model, not a curated record
CAUCCCUGCAGCUUUGACAGCUUUACUUGGCUGCGACUGGCUGGGUUUACUUAAUAGUUGGACCAAAAAGUGUUACCUAGUAGCAGGCGCUUGCGCUCACGCACACUUCCCCAAACUCGCGACUGAAUGCAUUAGCUGCUCUGCUUCAUCCCUCUGUGAGCCCGCCUCCGUUCCCCAGUCCCCAUCCGUGAUUACUCCGUGCUCGGCUUACAAAGGACGCUAUCACACAUGACAGCCUCCAUUUAAAUGGGGAGUGGAAGGGACACAGAACUACAUGUAAAGGAUGUGGGAUAACCUUACCUUUCCCUUUGUGUACAGAUCUUCCACAUUAGCCCCGGAUGUGUGUUCCUUCAUUGUCACCUGUAAAACAACCAAGAGACGGUGCUGAUGGACAUCUCGGUCCAAAACCACACCUUUGAAAAGAAGACUGAUGAGCUUUUUAACUAACUAUGUGAGACGAAAGAAUAGCCAUGUAAUCAGGGAGGAGGGCAGACACCAAAAUCAUCUCAACACAAUCCUCGGGAGUCCCAAACAAAAAUGACCACAACCUGCCAAGAUCUCUGAAUUCUCUGGGAUGCUGCAGUGCUGCGAGAAAAGACAUGUGCACCUGCGUCAUUUCUACAUUAUAUUGCUGUCAACCCAUUUGCUGAUCCAGUUUGCCCAUCCUUUGAAUAAGAUGACAUACUUCUGCUUCAGAUUAAAGAAUUAUUUAAGGGGGAUCAGACCAA